Molecule: transfer RNA, 68 nt
Filed under: Marmota monax (woodchuck)
Lineage: Eukaryota; Metazoa; Chordata; Mammalia; Rodentia; Sciuridae
Description: tRNA.Ala
Rfam family: tRNA (bases 6-64)
About the family: Transfer RNA (tRNA) molecules are approximately 80 nucleotides in length.
Source: RNAcentral
GGUUGGUAGCUCAGUGGUAGAGCGCUUGCCCAGCAUGCGUGAGGCCCUGGGUUCGAUCCCCAGCACCG